Molecule: ribosomal RNA, 500 nt
Filed under: uncultured bacterium
Lineage: Bacteria
Description: partial 16S ribosomal RNA
Rfam family: Bacterial small subunit ribosomal RNA
Source: RNAcentral
AUUGAACGCUGGCGGCAUGCCUUACACAUGCAAGUCGAACGGCAGCACGGGAGCAAUCCUGGUGGCGAGUGGCGAACGGGUGAGUAAAGUAUCGGAACGUGCCCAGUCGUGUGGGAUAACGUAGCGAAAGUUACGCUAAUACCGCAUACGAUCUAUGGAUGAAAGCGGGGGAUCGCAAGACCUCGCGCGAUUGGAGCGGCCGAUAUCAGAUUAGGUAGUUGGUGGGGUAAAGGCUCACCAAGCCGACGAUCUGUAGCUGGUCUGAGAGGACGACCAGCCACACUGGGACUGAGACCAGGCCCAGACUCCUACGGGAGGCAGCAGUGGGGAAUUUUGGACAAUGGGCGAAAGCCUGAUCCAGCCAUGCCGCGUGCAGGAUGAAGGCCUUCGGGUUGUAAACUGCUUUUGUACGGAACGAAAAGGUUUGGCCUAAUAAGCUGAGCUCAUGACGGUACCGUAAGAAUAAGCACCGGCUAACUACGUGCCAGCCGCCGCCGUAA